RNAcentral lists this long non-coding RNA (1345 nucleotides) under Bos indicus x Bos taurus (hybrid cattle). RNAcentral's name for it is "lncRNA (ENSBIXG00005030659.1)". The record is from RNAcentral. Lineage: Eukaryota; Metazoa; Chordata; Mammalia; Artiodactyla; Bovidae.
GCCUGCUCUCCUGACGUGUUGAGAUCCUGAAGCGAGUGCUCAGAGCAGCCAGACGUGCGCCCUGGUGGCUUGGCAAUGUCUGCUGUGGGUGUGGGUGGGGAGGCAGUGGCCUGCACCCUCCAGACACCACCUGAAGGCGGAGUCCUGGGGGCAAGGCUGGGAGUGGUUCUCAUGUCUGUAAGUCUGGCAUGGGGCCUGCAGCCAGGAGCUCGCCUAGUGGCUGAUGGAGGCUGGAGGGGCGGGCUGGGCAGGGCAGAGGGAGGAGGGAGCAGACCAAGGAGGGCCGCAGGGACCGGCCCCAAGGGUGAGAGGGCGGGCAGCCGGCCCCACUCCUGGCUGGGCUGGUUUCGCCUGGCUCUCUGCUCCUCCGCCAACUGGCUUGCUAUGACGUGGGCAUCCCCGAGCGGGCCCUGCAACGCUCGGCUCUCCUGGCAAUGGUGCCCCGGCCCCAGGCAUUCUGGAGCCAGAGAGCCAGCAGGAGGCUUGCGGUUGGACGGGGAGCUCAGAGAGGACCACCCGAACUGCUGUCCUUCCCCAGAAACCACUGCCCCCACCGGGAGAGAUGGGCCGUCCCCAUCUGUGGGUGGCAGCUCAGGCCUGGACCCGGAGACCCGUCUGCUGGAGGCGGGGAGGCUGGGGUGCCGACCCCCGAAGGAGCCAGCCCCACGCAGGAUGCUUCUCAGGCUUUGAUCAGCCAACUCCAUGCUGGCUGGGGAACUGAAGUGGAGCCCCCUUGAAAGGCGGAUGGGCCCCUUGCCCUUUCGGAAGCCAACACGUUUGAAGGGACCUGGAAUCUGAUUGUUCGCCGAUGGAGGCCAAGCUGCCGCACAUGUAAAUUUCCAAUUAAAACAGAAAUUAAUCCUCUCCCCCAACUACCUGCUAUCUCCAGCCGGAUGAGCAAAAGUUUUAUUCUGCUAAUUAAUGUUAUCACCCGUUAGCUUUAUUUACAUAAGCAGAUAUAAUUCACAUGGCUUUGCAGAAGCUGAUGGGGAAACUUAAAAAAAUUUUUUUUUAAGUUAAAAAAAUUAAUUACCUUGAUCCUCCCUCUUGUAUUCUAAUCACAGACUUGCAGCGUUCCUCUUUGGUGCUCCCCGAAACCCCUGGGUUGGCUCCUUCUUUGAUGAGUGGGAGCUUGUUCCAAAUGGAGAGAGAAGAAGUUGAAAAUUGAGCAGCUUGGAGGGGAAGCCAGUACCAGUCUUCAUAUGAAAGGCCCGAUGGAUGUGAUAAUUAUUUACGGUUUCUGGCUUUGGGUGUUUUUGUUACCCAGUUAAAUAGACUCCAAAUACCACAUUAAAAUCUUGCAAAGAUCCUGGCAGAUUAAUAAAUCACAGCAACUGCUCUGGCA